GAUGAACGCUAGCUACAGGCUUAACACAUGCAAGUCGAGGGGCAGCAUGGUCUUAGCUUGCUAAGGCCGAUGGCGACCGGCGCACGGGUGAGUAACACGUAUCCAACCUGCCGUCUACUCUUGGACAGCCUUCUGAAAGGAAGAUUAAUACAAGAUGGCAUCAUGAGUCCGCAUGUUCACAUGAUUAAAAGGUAUUCCGGUAGACGAUGGGGAUGCGUUCCAUUAGAUAGUAGGCGGGGUAACGGCCCACCUAGUCUUCGAUGGAUAGGGGUUCUGAGAGGAAGGUCCCCCACAUUGGAACUGAGACACGGUCCAAAACUCCUACGGGAGGCAGCAGUGAGGAAUAUUGGUCAAAUGGACGAGAGUCUGAACCAGCCAAGUAGCGUGCAGGAUGACGGCCCUAUGGGUUGUAAACUGCUUUUAUAAGGGAUAAAAGUGAGUCUCGUGAGACUUUUUGCAUGUACCUUNGAAUAAGGACCGGCUAA
This 485-nucleotide ribosomal RNA is filed under the name uncultured bacterium. RNAcentral describes it as "bacterial SSU rRNA". It matches the Rfam family "Bacterial small subunit ribosomal RNA", at positions 28 to 500 of the family's 1533-position model. The record is from RNAcentral.